Molecule: ribosomal RNA, 274 nt
Filed under: uncultured bacterium
Lineage: Bacteria
Description: partial 16S ribosomal RNA
Rfam family: Bacterial small subunit ribosomal RNA
Source: RNAcentral
AUACGGAGGGUGCAAGCGUUACUCGGAAUCACUGGGCGUAAAGCGCGCGCAGGCGGUCUUUUAAGUUGGAUGUGAAAGCCUACAGCUCAACUGUAGAACUGCAUCCAAAACUAUUAGACUAGAGUCUGGGAGGGGAAGAUGGAAUUAGUUGUGUAGGGGUAAAAUCCGUAGAGAUAACUAGGAAUACCAAAAGCGAAGGCGAUCUUCUGGAACAGUACUGACGCUGAGGCGCGAAAGCGUGGGGAGCAAACAGGAUUAGAAACCCCUGUAGUCC